Molecule: ribosomal RNA, 2209 nt
Filed under: Salmonella enterica subsp. houtenae
Lineage: Bacteria; Pseudomonadati; Pseudomonadota; Gammaproteobacteria; Enterobacterales; Enterobacteriaceae
Description: partial 23S ribosomal RNA
Rfam family: Bacterial large subunit ribosomal RNA
Source: RNAcentral
UUGUAUAAUGGGUCAGCGACUUAUAUUCUGUAGCAAGGUUAACCGCAUAGGGGAGCCGGAGGGAAACCGAGUCUUAAUUGGGCGUUAAGUUGCAGGGUAUAGACCCGAAACCCGGUGAUCUAGCCAUGGGCAGGUUGAAGGUUGGGUAACACUAACUGGAGGACCGAACCGACUAAUGUUGAAAAAUUAGCGGAUGACCUGUGGCUGGGGGUGAAAGGCCAAUCAAACCGGGAGAUAGCUGGUUCUCCCCGAAAGCUAUUUAGGUAGCGCCUCGUGAAUUCAUCUCCGGGGGUAGAGCACUGUUUCGGCCAGGGGGCCAUCCCGGCUUACCAAUCCGAUGCAAACUGCGAAUACCGGAGAAUGUUAUCACGGGAGACACACGGCGGGUGCUAACGUCCGUCGUGAAGAGGGAAACAACCCAGACCGCCAGCUAAGGUCCCAAAGUCAUGGUUAAGUGGGAAACGAUGUGGGAAGGCCCAGACAGCCAGGAUGUUGGCUUAGAAGCAGCCAUCAUUUAAAGAAAGCGUAAUAGCUCACUGGUCGAGUCGGCCUGCGCGGAAGAUGUAACGGGGCUAAACCAUGCACCGAAGCUGCGGCAGCGAACGUAUCACCCAAGACAACUUUACACAGUUGACGACUGACGGAGCGAAGCGACGUCAAAGCGUUUUACAACGUCGAGUUGGCUUAGGGAUACGUUCGUUGGGUAGGGGAGCGUUCUGUAAGCCGUUGAAGGUGUGUCGUGAGGCAUGCUGGAGGUAUCAGAAGUGCGAAUGCUGACAUAAGUAACGAUAAAGCGGGUGAAAAGCCCGCUCGCCGGAAGACCAAGGGUUCCUGUCCAACGUUAAUCGGGGCAGGGUGAGUCGACCCCUAAGGCGAGGCCGAAAGGCGUAGUCGAUGGGAAACGGGUUAAUAUUCCCGUACUUGGUGUUACUGCGAAGGGGGGACGGAGAAGGCUAUGUUGGCCGGGCGACGGUUGUCCCGGUUUAAGCGUGUAGGUGUGUGUUCCAGGUAAAUCCGGUUCACUUUAACACUGAGGCGUGAUGACGAGGCACCACGGUGCUGAAGCAACAAAUGCCCUGCUUCCAGGAAAAGCCUCUAAGCCUCAGGUAACAUCAAAUCGUACCCCAAACCGACACAGGUGGUCAGGUAGAGAAUACCAAGGCGCUUGAGAGAACUCGGGUGAAGGAACUAGGCAAAAUGGUGCCGUAACUUCGGGAGAAGGCACGCUGACACGUAGGUGAAGUGGUUUACCCAUGGAGCUGAAGUCAGUCGAAGAUACCAGCUGGCUGCAACUGUUUAUUAAAAACACAGCACUGUGCAAACACGAAAGUGGACGUAUACGGUGUGACGCCUGCCCGGUGCCGGAAGGUUAAUUGAUGGGGUCAGCGCAAGCGAAGCUCCUGAUCGAAGCCCCGGUAAACGGCGGCCGUAACUAUAACGGUCCUAAGGUAGCGAAAUUCCUUGUCGGGUAAGUUCCGACCUGCACGAAUGGCGUAAUGAUGGCCAGGCUGUCUCCACCCGGGACUCAGUGAAAUUGAACUCGCUGUGAAGAUGCAGUGUACCCGCGGCAAGACGGAAAGACCCCGUGAACCUUUACUAUAGCUUGACACUGAACACUGGUCCUUGAUGUGCAGGAUAGGUGGGAGGCUUUGAAGUGUGGACGCCAGUCUGCAUGGAGCCAUCCUUGAAAUACCACCCUUUAAUGGCUGGUGUUCUAACGUGGGCCCGUGAACCGGGUUGCGGACAGUGUCUGGUGGGUAGUUUGACUGGGGCGGUCUCCUCCUAAAGAGUAACGGAGGAGCACGAAGGUUGGCUAAUCCUGGUCGGACAUCAGGAGGUUAGUGCAAUGGCAUAAGCCAGCUUGACUGCGAGCGUGACGGCGCGAGCAGGUGCGAAAGCAGGUCAUAGUGAUCCGGUGGUUCUGAAUGGAAGGGCCAUCGCUCAACGGAUAAAAGGUACUCCGGGGAUAACAGGCUGAUACCGCCCAAGAGUUCAUAUCGACGGCGGUGUUUGGCACCUCGAUGUCGGCUCAUCACAUCCUGGGGCUGAAGUAGGUCCCAAGGGUAUGGCUGUUCGCCAUUUAAAGUGGUACGCGAGCUGGGUUUAGAACGUCGUGAGACAGUUCGGUCCCUAUCUGCCGUGGGCGCUGGAAGAUUGAGGGGGGCUGCUCCUAGUACGAGAGGACCGGAGUGGACGCAUCACUGGUGUU